This 346-nucleotide long non-coding RNA is filed under the name Serinus canaria (Common canary). RNAcentral describes it as "lncRNA (ENSSCAG00000005382.1)". The record is from RNAcentral. Lineage: Eukaryota; Metazoa; Chordata; Aves; Passeriformes; Fringillidae.
AGUGUUUAUUAGCCUCUGAAGCAGCACUACUCUAGCUGCUGUAGUUGCAGAGCAUCUGGCAGAGGUGCUGCUCUUUUUCUCCAGAGGUGUCCUCGGGCCUGGGAAGCAAAGGGGGAUGUUGCCAGGUGGCAGAGCUACCUUCUCAUCUAGUGCCAAGGGAGAGACUCCAGGUGUGCCUGGUGAGGGCUCCUGCUGUGCACUCACCCUGCUCAGUGCAUGUCUGCUCCUGUGCCUCACGUGGCUGCUCCAUCCCCAUCCCGGGGCCAGGCGUGUAGGAAGGAGUGUGCUCAACCAGUCAGAAAGGGGAAGCGUAUCUGAAAUAAGAAACUCAGCAUCAGCUGCAUAA